GGAAGCCAUAAAAGUCGCCAGUGUGUC
Molecule: non-coding RNA, 27 nt
Filed under: Mus musculus (house mouse)
Lineage: Eukaryota; Metazoa; Chordata; Mammalia; Rodentia; Muridae
Source: RNAcentral